GGGGGAAUUGACAAGGACCGGGUGUACCUAUUUGGGAAAAGAAAGAAGUUUUAAACCAGCCAAAAAAUUAAGAUAAAUGUAAAGGAAAGCCUAACAUGGAUAUAACUUGCUUAGGCGACGUCCGGGAAAGGAUGUGAACCCUGCAGUUCUCAGCCAAUGAGGAACCAGGGGAGGGAUCCGCGUGCCAGGGAAUAAAUUACUUGCACCCAGUGCCCCAGGUGUGCCUGCCCACAGGACACCCCGUCCUGCAAGACCGUCAUUAGAGCCUCGCUCCGCUGCUCUCUGUCUCCGUGUCCGCUUACUGAGUUUGGGCCGGCUGAAAGGACUCCUCGCCCAGACGCCCCCACCUGAGCCCUUCGCUCACUGCUUCCAGCCCCGGGACCUGGUGUUAUAAAGUCCUGGAAAGAAGAUGGACUCCAGCCCAGCUGGGAAGGCCCCCUACCCGUGCUCCUGGCCACGGAAACCGCAGAGAGGACGGCUGAAGAGGGCUGGACUCAUUACACCAGGAAAAAGAAACUGACGGAGGGAUCUGGGGACACAACAGAGAACUGGCAAGUGUCCCAGGCGGCUAACCAACACUUAAAGCCAAAACUAAAAAGAACCUAAAAAUGUUAACGUUUUUCUUCCUAACUCUAUAUUUUACAGACAAGUCUCAGGGAGCCCUAGAAUGGGAAGGAACUCCUGGUUAUCCCGUCAAGCUGGUGACCAAUAUCACAAAGCCGUCAGGCCCCCAAACCCCACUCCCGUGGGGUGACCCAAACGGCCAAGGACAGCUUCCGGAGGUAGUAAGCGCCUCUGUCCUGAAUGGACGCAUGUUGACAGAUGAACGGGCAGGUGGGCCCCGUGUCCAGGGUGGAGCAGUGCCUGGUGGAAGCGCCUCUGUCCUGAAUGGACGCAUGUUGACAGAUGAACGGGCAGGUGGGCCCCGUGUCCAGGGUGGAGCAGUGCCUGGUGGACUGCCCAGUUUCAAGGGUGGAUGGCCCCUCAUGCAGCAGGGAAACCGUUAACAGGAAAGCCCCGCGUGGCUGUAGGCAUUCCGCCUGAGACUUGCCAGGACAGGCAGCGUAAGCCCCCCUCUUGUUAAUCACACAUAAUCCUUGAGACUUAGGCUCAGACCCUGUGAUUGCUCGUCGUGUUUAUGGACUCGGUGCAGAUGUCACUGGAAUAGAUGCCGUGGGAGGGUUUGGUCUUAAUUUAAUCAAAGACAAGACUUCACCCACAGUGCCACCCCCGAUCCUGAGGGAGAUAAUGAGCCAGAGCUUCCCCGUAAUGACCCUAAACUAGUUACUGGAACAGAGGCAAGGAAUGUGUAACAGACUCUUGAAAUUGAGACAGGUUCUGGAGACACCAAUACCUGGGUAGAAUGGGUCAAAUUUUCAGUAAUCGCUUUGGACAAAAGUGAUUGUUACGCAUGUGCUGCAGGACAGCCACAGGUGCAGGUGGUCCCGUUCCCUCUCGGCUGGGGCACAGCCCCCACUGGGGUGAACUGCACGUUGGCCCUAAGUCAGGACAAGGACGCUUGGGGAGAUGGGACCUGCAAGGGCUUGUCUCCACUCCUUCCUGCACUAAAGAAGUCAGCCCCGAGGGCAACCCCCUCCUUUUCCAUAGGGACGAUGACUCACUCCUCAUGCCUCUCUGGGUAAAAGAAAGGUUUCACAACUCCUGUGGGGAACUUGCUGACUUGUACCCACAUCCUAAAUGUCUCUAAAGAGGGCAACUUCUCGAAAUCACGCAUCCCCGCGCAGAUGUUUGAUGGUACCAUGGAGAGAAACCUGCGUGACUCGUUGUGGUCCGGCUGGGCUGGGACUUGCGCUUCGGUCCAGCUGUCUGCCCCAUUUACCCUGGCAGUUCUCUCCACACCCCAACGGGAAAAAACAUUUCAUAGAAAUCGCAGAGCAUUACAAAGAUCCUUUGAUUCAAAUGUGUACCUUGACUCAACAGGAGUCCCUAAGGGAGUCCCUAAUGAAUUUAAAGCUCAAAACCAAAUAGCUGCAGGGUUUGAAUCAGCACUAUUUCGGUGGUCCACCACCAACAAAAAUGUAGAUUGGAUCAAUUACAUUUACUAUAAUCAAGGGUUUAUUAACUAUACCAGGGAUGCUUGUCAAGGAGAAGCUAGCCAAUUAGAUGCCACCAGCAGGACGGCCUGGAAAAAUAGGACAGCGUUAGGUAUGAUGUCAGCAGAAAAAGGAGGGGUCUGUGUUAUGUUGGGAGGAAAGUAUAUUUUUAUCCCAUAUAAUACUGCCCCUGAUGGUACUAUUACUAAAGCCCUACAGGGACUCACCACUUUAGCUAAUGAAUUACCUGAAAACCCUGGCAUCAGUGACCCUUUUACAGACUGGUUAGAAGGAUGGUGUGGAAAAUGGAAAGGUGGAAAGGUGUGGCCGCCUCUGUUUUAACAUCACUCGUUACAGUUGCCGGAGUUGGAACCGCUGCAGGACGCUGGGUCAUCCCUUGUGUGAGAGGCAGCCAUAAACAAAUACCUAUGACAUACACCCAAAAUAAUCUUACAUUUAGUACAUGUAGUCAAAGAUAAAUUUGACUACAAAGAGGAGAACAAAAAUAUAUUAGAAAAGUUUGAAAAAGGACUGGGUAUGAGCUGAAAUACAUUACUGGGAAUAAAAUCAGAAAUUCUAAAGAAGAGGGGGAACUGUUAGAGAAAGCAUGAAAUCUAAAUGUGAUUUAUUCCCACCAGGAGGUUUAAACGUUUUAGCAGUAAAGUAUUGACAAAAGGCCACGUGGUAAAAUAUAUGCCAGGAAGUUGCUCAGGCUGGGAGUCGGGGGUGGGGGAGAAUUGACAAGGACCAGGUGUACCUAUUUGGGAAAAAUAAGUUUUAAACCUGCCAAUAAAAUUAAGACAAAUGUAAGGGAAAGCCUAACAUGGAUAUAAUGUGCUUAGGUGAUGUCUGGGAAAGGAUGUGAACCCUGUAGUUCUGAGCCAAUGAGGAACCAGGGCAGGGACUCACGUGCUAGGGAACAAAUUACUGGCACCCAGUGCCCCAGGUGUGCCUGCCCACAGGACACCCAAUCCUGCAAGGCCUCCAUUAGAGCCUCGCUCCACUGUUCUCUGUCUCCGUGCCUGCUUACUGAGUGUGGGCCGGUGAGCGUGCUUCUCAAAGCCUCUUUCUUGUAGCAGUCUGCAUUUAAAGUCACUUCAAGUCUGUGGCAUGCUGGUUCAUUUCCCUCCCAGCUUAACUGAGCUGUAGUUGACAAAACUGUAUAUAUUUAAAGUAUACAGUCUGAUAAUUUGAAAUAUGUUUAGUGUGUAACAUGAUUACCACUCAGACCUCACUUAGCUCUUGCAUGUGUGUGAGAGCGCGGAAGAUCUGUUCUCCUGCAAAUUUACAAUAUAGUGUCAUUAACUAGUCUCCGUGCCGUACCUUAGACCCCCAGAACUUACUCGUCCCGUAACUGAGGUCUCGCGCCCUUGCACCAGCAUCUCCCCGUCUCUCCCGUCCCCCACCCCCGGGAGCCUCCUGGCUACUCUCCUUUUACGGUGGCCCCUUUGUUUUCAUCACUGAAGGAAAACACUGUGUGGGGGUUCACUGUGUGUGUGAACUGCAGUUUGCACAUCCAUUCACCUCCUGAAGGACGUCUUCGUUGCUUCCAGUGUUUGGCAAUUACAAAUAAAGCUGCUGUAGACAAUCAUGUGCAGGUUUUAUUGUGUGGACCUAAGAUUUCAGCUCAUUCAGGUAAAUACCUACCCCAU
Non-coding RNA from Manis javanica (Malayan pangolin), 3706 nucleotides. Lineage: Eukaryota; Metazoa; Chordata; Mammalia; Pholidota; Manidae. The record is from RefSeq and is a predicted model, not a curated record.